RNAcentral lists this ribosomal RNA (392 nucleotides) under Acanthamoeba sp. MMN-2011/T4. RNAcentral describes it as "SSU rRNA". The stretch from base 1 to 340 matches the Rfam family "Eukaryotic small subunit ribosomal RNA", at positions 785 to 1114 of the family's 1831-position model. Lineage: Eukaryota; Discosea; Longamoebia; Acanthamoebidae. The record is from RNAcentral.
UUUUCUGCCACCGAAUACAUUAGCAUGGGAUAAUGGAAUAGGACCCUGUCCUCCUAUUUUCAGUUGGUUUUGGCAGCGCGAGGACUAGGGUAAUGAUUAAUAGGGAUAGUUGGGGGCAUUAAUAUUUAAUUGUCAGAGGUGAAAUUCUUGGAUUUAUGAAAGAUUAACUUCUGCGAAAGCAUCUGCCAAGGAUGUUUUCAUUAAUCAAGAACGAAAGUUAGGGGAUCGAAGACGAUCAGAUACCGUCGUAGUCUUAACCAUAAACGAUGCCGACCAGCGAUUAGGAGACGUUGAAUACAAAACACCACCAUCGGCGCGGUCGUCCUUGGCGUUCGUGUUCACGCACGAGCGCGAGGGCGGUUUAGCCCGGUGGCACCGGUGAAUGACUCCCU